ACACCUCAAACAGUGUCGGAUACAGAGGCAUCCACACGGGGAAGCAGACGACGCCCGGUUUUAUUUUCUCCUCAACAAAUCGCUAAUUUUCACCCAGUUUACGGCACCUGAACCCAGGGAAGAAGGCAGCAAUCAUGUUUCGUAUGGCCGCCCCACGACUGGAUGCUGCCGAGGAGAAAAGGAGAGCCAUGGAGGAAGAUAAAUUAGCUAGGAAGAUCGUCUAUUCGAAUUUCGGGACUUUCGUCGUGACCAUAAUGCUUAUCAAAGCAGCUCCAUACCUUAUAGAGAGGUUUUCCUAAUGAAGAGGAGCAGAAGAAAGAAGUAUCAGCUCACAGAUGUUUUAUAAGAGAAUUAGAGAAUGGGGCAGUACUGAUUGUUUUUAUGCAAAUGUACUUUUGUAAUAAAUAAGAAAAGAAAAAUACUA
This is a non-coding RNA of Penaeus vannamei (Pacific white shrimp), 424 nucleotides long. The record is from RefSeq and is a predicted model, not a curated record. NCBI's taxonomy places the organism in Eukaryota, Metazoa, Arthropoda, Malacostraca, Decapoda, Penaeidae.